AGUGUGUAUAUGUGUGUAUGUAUACACACAGAGAUGUAUGUAUACACAUACACACAUAUAUACACACA
Podarcis lilfordi (Lilford's wall lizard) is the source of this 68-nucleotide non-coding RNA. The record is from the annotation of a GenBank genome assembly. Lineage: Eukaryota; Metazoa; Chordata; Lepidosauria; Squamata; Lacertidae.